AAUCUCAAACUUUGUCUACACACACAAAACCUUUAAUAAACAGUAAAAAAAGCCUGGACGUCGAAUUUCGAAAUUAUACUUUACUUAAUAAACAAACAUCGUUCUUUGUAACGUAAAUUCAUCGAAUAUGCGCGCAUGCGUAAACCAACGGCUGCUAUUAGUUUUGUGUUUGCGAUUGAAGACACAUCUUCAUAAUGUUUUGCAGUAAUGUUUGUAAAGCGAAAUUUUUACGUAGUAUAAAAAACGCAUUCAGUUCGUUAGUUUUAAAGAAUUAGCAGAUGUUUCGUUCGUAUCUAUUUAUAGGUAGGAUUAAUAGGGAAGUUCAUUAGUCGUUUCUUUAAUGUUGGUACUAAAACUAAGUAAAGAUGAACCGUUUCCUUUUAUUUCCGUCUUGAUUUUCGUGCAUUUCGUGUAAUGAAAGGAAGAAAAAUUUUGUUGUCAUGUAUUUAAUCUGCUAACCCGUCUCGUCUCGUCUCGUCUCGGGAACUAAGGAGUGGUGGGACCAAAUUGGCGAUGCAUCACGGGACCUGGCUGAGUGCUGCUGCUGGGACAAACUCCGCUACCCUGGGUGGACCGUGCGCUGGCCCCCUCAGGGACGUAGCCGGGGGAAGUCCUCAGAAUAUAAAAAACUGCAUAGCCGCACCGGUGACUAUUGCAAGCUGCAGCAGCAGCAUCAUCUUGGGCGAGCUGCACUGGCAACUCGGGUGAGCUGCAGCAGCAGCAUCUUGGGCGAGCUGCACUGGCAACUCGGGUGAGCUGCAGCAGCAGCAUCUUGGGUGAGCUGCACUGGCAACUCGGGUGAGCUGCAGCAGCAGCAUCUUGGGCAAGCUGCAGCUGCAUCUUGGGUGAGAUGCACCAGCAUCUUGGGCGAGCUGCACUGGCAACUCGGGUGAGCUGCAGCAGCAGCAUCUUGGGCAAGCUGCAGCUGCAUCUUGGGUGAGAUGCACCAGCAUCUUGGGCGAGCUGCACUGGCAACUCGGGUGAGCUGCAGCAGCAGCAUCUUGGGCAAGCUGCAGCUGCAUCUUGGGUGAGAUACACCAGCAUCUUGGGCGAGCUGCACUGGCAACUCGGGUGAGCUGCAGCAGCAGCAUCUUGGGCAAGCUGCAGCUGCAUCUUGGGUGAGAUGCACCAGCAUCUUGGGCGAGCUGCACCGGUGACUCAUGCGAGCUGCUGCUGCUUGGGGCCAACUGCAAGACCUAGAAGCUGCGCUAUCCCAUUCUCAGACCUGCCAACUUGUAAAGUUGCUUAUCAGUAAGAUUUUAAAAUUUUCCGAAAAGUGCGUAAAUAGGUCGCGGCAUUUCAUGUCAGUUAUACACACCAGUUGUUCACCAUAAAUAAGUGGGAAACAUGUGUUAUACACAUAUUUACACACAAACAUCACAUAUUAUGCAAAUGAAUGCUAUUCUCCGUAAUUUAAACAAACAAGAUGAAAAGUAAUUUUCAAAACUUAAUUUUCUUAUGCUGAACAUAAAAUUCACUUUUUCUUUUAAGAAUUCUUGAAAACCAACUUACCUACCAAUCUUUUGUAUGAUGUUUGUUAUUUUCCCCCCUUGAAUUUUGCCACACUCAAGUUAAAAUUAUGCCAAUGCAAACACUUGUAAAACCUUAACAAAAUAUGUCACCACGAGGGGAUAAAGUUUGGAACAAGAAUCUGUGAAAGGCAAAAUGGCCCAUUUUGCAAACAGUCAACAAUAUUAGAAACUACAUCUAAAGCCAUUUCAUUAACAAUGGCAGUUGUCUUAGUUCUACCACAGCUAUAUUGUUUAGCCACAUCACACUUAGGAAACAUUUUUCUAAGCAGUGGGCCAACAUGAUCUGCAAUACUGAAGGGUAUGUUGUGUUCCACAAAAGAACCAGUGAACAAACACUCAGCCUGAAUAACCUCAUUUUCAACACUAUUUGUACCAAAGUAAGUGUUAUAUCUUUUUAUUUUCCUGUUGGUAUUUGAAAUUACUUACAUGUUUUGCACACUUGAUAUGGAUAGUGGGUAAAUAUGUAGUUAAGCGGUAUUUGCGAAAGAAAAUUUUAAAAAUCUGAAAAUACUUUUAUUAUAUGCUCUUUAAAUUCCUCUUUUCAUUAAAGCCGGCGAAGAUAAGAAAUUCCAAAUACUUUAUGAGAUAUCGCCGUUCUUAAUUAUGCUAUAGAAGAUGUGUGUAAUCAUUCGACCGUUGCCAUUGUUGUUAUUUUGCCGUGUGUUCGUGAAUGCCUAAUUAAUUAAAAUGGUCCGCCGGCUUUAAUGAAAAGAGGAAUUUAAAGAACAUAUAAUAAAAGUAUUUUCAGAUUUUUAAUAUUUUUUUUUCGCAAAUACCGCUCAACUACAUAUUUACGCACAUUUUAUACCUUUUGUCGGUACAUAAGUACUAUAUUAAGAAAAAUAAUUGACGCCUUGACUCAAACAACUUUAUUUCUUUCUUGCUUCACUACACAACAAAAUGUAUGUAUGUGAAACUCAAAUACACUCCCAAACAUAACUGUAUCGUAAAUAUUUUGCUUUAACUGAACCACUAUAGUUUUUAAUUAAUGUACACCAAACCACUAUUAGUUAUCAAACACAACACUACACGCGUGGACAUAACCUGCAAUCUCGUACACGACGGGCCCAUCUACAACAGUCCGAACCUGUGGCCUCUGGGUGGUCUGUGUCCUUAUCCCAUAGAUAAAGGUUACUAUCUUAAAGUGAAUGAAUGACGUCACAUGUCGCACAUACGACUGUCCAGUCUACAAUUACGAUGUCUGAUGUCUGAAAUCUAACGAUUUCUAAAGUAUUCACCACAGCGCACUAACGUGGAAGCGCGGCAAAAAAUGUCGCCGGGUCAGUGCAAAUAUAUGGUAUUCUGUACUGUAAACUACAGUACAUGUACCACAAAAUGCGGUUAAAACAAUCUUGCAGCACGUUAAAAUCGGAACUUCCUUUCUUCUUGCCGUAAAAACCAUUACAAAACUGUGGUAUUGUACGUGACAUUUACGGCACUGUUCCAACAAAAAUACGGUACAAAAACUGUAUAUAUGGUAUUUACCGAUGCAAGUACACUAUUUUAUGGCACGAGAUUGAAAACGCUAGCCCGUGGCCCGUGAGUCAAUGUAGAAUUUCAGGCCAGAAGAAACGUAAGCGUAAAAUUAAUGCCGCUCCCCGUAAAAACGUAAGAACUGCAAUCACCCGUACAAAUUACGGCAGAAUCGUACAAGUUGGCAGGUCUGCAUUCUGCUCUGCUCGCAUUCACGUGCCCUUCAGUCACAAUAAGGUAACUAAAUUUAGUAGGUCUCAGUUAAGAAAAAAAAACUAAAAUCAAAUCAUUUACUAGGAAAUAUUUCCUUAAUAUUUAUAACCAAAAACUAGAAGAUCUGUCCUUACUUUAAUAACCAUUAUAGCUCUAAAAAUAACUGUAAAUUAAUUCUUGAUAACACAGUAUUUAGUGCCAUAGUUUCAGUCCUUUAAAAUCUACCUUGUGCACACUUCUCAAAUAUAAUGAUUUUGUCUUAAGAUUAACUUCUGAAUGUUUACGAACUGAUUCAUCUAACCUUACAGUACUAGAUUCAUAGCAUUUUCUUAACUUGGUAUUUAUUUUGCUUUAUUAAUAAUCAUGUGUAUAUACUCUUAUUUUUUUCAAUAGUGUUAUUUCCUUUGAUUGGCAUUAAUAUUAUAGUUAUAACUGUUUUUAUUUUUUAUUUUAAUUUUAUCAUUGUAGUGUUGAUCUAUUGGUUGUGCUGUUAUUGUUUUCCAUUGUCCUGUGUUAUUUAUUGUUAGUAUAUGGUGUUUGUUUAUUGUGCUUACAAAAUAAGUUUUUCUUCAUCUGUGAUUGGCAUGUUACAAUUUAAUUAAACAAAAUAAAAUAAAAGUACUGUUCAUGAAAGUCAUGAAACUUGAAUUUCUGCCAGCCUUUUACUUAUUUGCAUUUUGUUUUUCGACACCUCACAAUAUUUUGUAGUCAUUAUUUAGUUAUAAAUAGUUUUUGAGACAUUCCACUUUAAAUCAUGCGGAAAUAAUUUCCAAAAAUGUUAAAGCUUUCUAACUUAAAAAUUGCCACAUUCCUGCGUAAAAUUUGAUUUUUUUUUUUUUUGUUUAGUUUUUCUAGUAAUUUAAACAAAUUAAACCCUGUAUUAUAAAGAAUUUGUAUGAGAGUUCUAUAAUAGGUUCUGAAAGAAUCCUGAAAUUCAUCCACCAGGUGUAUUUAGAUAUCACGUACAGGCUCUCAUGAAGGUUCCACCCAACUUGUAGCUGUGGUGUUUUACUGUGGUGAUUCCUACUGGUAUUUUUGAAACAAAUAUACAACAAUAAUUUUCACAUGAGUUGUAUGAAAUGAUGUGCAAGUUUUCUUUAUAUAAAAAAAAAAAAAACCCUUUAUAUUGAUGUACAUGUAGAAACUAAGAAAAGUAUUUUAAACUUUGCUUGAAUUUUCUUUAGAAAUUAUACCUCCUUAUUACGAACUGGUCCGUUUAGGCUUGUAUAAAUGAGGUUGUGACUGGACAUGAAAAAUGGAAGACCAUGUCACUCAACGCUAGCUGUUUUAGUAGUAGUCUAACUAAACCCCCGUCUACAGUUGCGAUGUCCCAAAUUGUAUCAGACGUCCGAUGGACACUGAUCGCUUUAGAAAUGAAUAGAUUCGGACAUCAGUAAUUGUAGACAGAGCAGUUAUGUGACAUCAUUCACAUUAGGAUAAGAGCACGAACCGCCCACAUGUUAGGACUGUUGCAAACAGGCUAUGUUACAUUGUGGUACAUUCUUAUUUUAAUUUUACUCCCUCAUAGAUAUUUUUAAUAGUUGCAUUCAGUUUUUGUACUCUCUGGUCUUACAGGGUCUUAACAUUGCAGAGCGAAUGAGCAGUGAGUUGGCCAACAUGACUAAAAUAUUAAAUGAAAUAUCUAAAUAUGUGUACAUAUUAACACCAUUCUCAAACAAAAAAUUAAUCCUCAAAAUUUGAAGACUAAAAAAUUUAGAGAUAUUUAUUAAUGAAUCUUGUUUCAAUAAUUAACAGAUUUAAAUAAAAAGUGUCGCUAUUAUUUUAUAUUUUUAAAGUUUUUAAUUUGUAAUCAGAUUAUAGCUCUUUACAUUGGCUAUUAGACUGUUACAGAAGAUUUCAGGGGAAACUGUCGGUGUUAGAAUCCUUUAAAAUUGUGCAUACCGUCAGCCUGUCUGCCAUAAUAUGUAGUCUCGUGUCCUAGUGAUGUUGCAAAUAUAAUUCUAUGUUUAUUCCCACAGAUAUUAAGCAGAGACUGCAUAGCUGGGCUUCUGGUGAAUGAAUCCAUUCAAGAUGUCGAGAAUGUUGAAGAUGCUGAGAGAACACCAUGCGGGAUCAAACCCUCGGAACAUCUCGAAGAGGAAAGAAAGUAAAUUGUAUGUUAUAAAUAGUGAGGGUUUUUUAUGGAAAAUACGCUUGUUGGAUUCAUAAUUUAUGUCUCGCGUAUCAGUAGCACCAAGUAUUGUGUUACUGAUUGUAAAAACUUUUUUUUAUUUUAACUUUCAGAAAAAUUUCAAAAAUCCAGAAUAUAUAAUGUGUGUAAUGUCCUCUAUUUUACUUUCACUGAAGGUCAUCUUAAAGCAUGUACAUUAGGCCUGUGCAAAUUAUAGUUUUUUUUUAGUUUAAAAUCGCAUAUGAAUACAAAAAUUAUUUGUGAAUAUGAAUGAAAAUUAGAAUCCCACAUCUUGUUGCAAUUCAUGAAAAAUUAGACAAAUAAUACCAAAGUAUAAGAUUGGUUAAAAUAAGUCAGCUACAGUAAUUUUAAGGAAAAUUUUUGCCAAAAUAUUUAAAUUAUGAAAUAACAGUUUUUUAAAAUUAUGCAGCUAACCUAACCAACCUUUAAUUUCAGUUUCUAUUGGCCUUAUUUUCCACAACUUGAACUCUAUGAUCCAGAAAAUUUUAGCUUACCACAAAAUACUUUGGAAUCCAUCGCAAUCAAUUUUACGAAAAAUGCGAACCUUUUUUCAAAAUGCUGUACUCACAAAUGAAGUGAUUGAAUGAGCUUAUAGUAACAUAUUUAUACCGUGGUUAUUCACGAGUGUUUGUUGUUAAAGAGUGCCAGAUAAAUUAUAUUUUAUUUCAGCAAUAUAUUAAAAAUCAGCAUUUGCUGAUUUCAUCUGGAAUCUUAAACCAUUAUAAUUUAUUUAUAUAUAUUUUUGAUUCACAAUGUCUGUUUCAUCAUAGGUACAUAUAGUAAGUAAGCUUCUACUGUAUCAUAUGGUGUUGGAUCAUUUGUGACUAUCAGUUUGUACGUCAUUGAAACUAUGAGAGUUAAUUAAUUCUUGUAACACCCGUCUGAAUGGAGUGUCCGUGUUUUGUGGUGGUGCAGUCCAUGGUGUGAAUGUUUAUUUUUUCCUACUUCUGGUGCACGUGACAAAAGAAAUAGAAAUAUUAUUUUGUUUUCAAAAUUGAAAUGAUAAAUAUGCAGUGUUUGGAAUUGUUUAUGCAAUUUUUUCUGUUAAUGUUUAGCAAGGCGGUAGCAAAAAAAAAAAAAAAAAAACUUUGAAUACUUGUUGUAUAUUUAAAACGUCACUUAUUGUUCAUGUCUUUGAUUAUGGAGUCCCAUUAAACAUAAAAAAAAAGGGUAUUAUCAUCACAUAAAUGACUUAAUCUCAGCAGUGAAUUUUGGUGUGUGACAAUUCAUGAGAUAUGCUAAAUUAAGUAUUCAUAAGCAAACGAAUCUUUAGUAUUUCGAAGUUUUAGAAAUAGAGGUUGAAUCAAAUCAUUUAAUUGUAUUAAAAAAUUCAAAAUUCCGUAUUGUAUCGCAUAAAAAAAAUAUAUUUCUUUGUUAGGUAAAGUUAUUCAUAAAAACAAAACCCAUUUAUGGAAAGUAUGUUUAUUUAAAAAGCACGCCGAACAAUUUAAAUUAAUAAGUCAUGCAACAAAAACCUUUCAUCAACUUCAAAUAUAAAAACAAAAUGUGAAUGCGAGCCUGAACUAAUGCAUAACUAUUGUCGUCGUACGCCACGAAAGAGUGCGGGCCAACAAAUGUAGUUAACUCAGAACUCCACAGAGAGCGUGCGUUGCAUGCAAUCGGUGAGAGAUCAGCAUCAAUAUUCGACUGUGUGCGCACGCUAUACGAGAAGCAACAUGAGUGAUGCCAACUAGCGCUGGCUACCUUUUUUUUUAUAAGCGGUACACAGCAGCGACGUAAAGGUUGUAACGUUUAAAAACGUCUUUAAAAGAUAAUUUACUUUACACAUCAGACAACUUCACAUUUACGUUAAUUAAAUAAGUAAGUGGUAAUGUCCAAAUAAAUAUUAUAUUUCUACUUUAAAACAAACUGUUUUAUAUAGAAAAGAUACCUACACAAAGUGCCCGGAAUCUAAUAGCAGGACCAAAAACAUCAUACAACGUUUACGCGAUGUUUUUUUAAUCAAAAUUUUGAUGCCCUAAAAUAUAGUUGUGGCAAUUAUGCGAUAAAACAGGGUAUUACUCUGAAAUAACAAAUAUUUGACACUGCAUACCUCAUGACUUUGUCAUAUACCAACGUUCGUUGUUAAGGUUAAGUCAUUGUGCGACUUUAAGAUGUUUUAAUGGGACUCGUAACAAAAAAUAUGAACAAUAAUAAGUGGUUUUUUAAACAUGCAACAAGUAUUCAAUUUUUUUCCCACUACUGUCUCACUAAACAUUAACAAUUCAAAACACGACAUACUUGUCAUUUCAAACUUAAAAGUAAAAUAUUAUUUGCUAAUAUCAACACAUGCACAAGAAGUUUGAAAAAAUAAAUAAAUGUCAACAACUAUGGACUACAAGACCAGGAAAAAACUCGCUCCAUUGCGAUGGCCAGUGAAAGAAGUAAAUUACAUACAUAGUUACAAUGGCAUAUAAAUUGAUGGUCACAAUUGAUCUAACACCCUGCGACACAGUAGAAUUUUUAUUCUUGUAUGUACCUAUGACAAAACAGACAAUUAGACUCCAAAAAUAUAUUUAAAAAAAGUAAUGGUUUUGUGUUCCAUGUAAAAUCAGCAGAAACUGUGAUUAACAUACCGCCAAUUUAAAAUAUAACGAUCCUGACUGCAGUUAACUAUGGUUUAAAUACAAACUCAUUUAAUCACCAAUUUAGGAAUACUGUUUUGAAAAAAAAAAAAAAUCCAGUUUGUUGAUAAAUAAAUUGUAUGGUACCUAUUUUGUUUUCUUGAUCAAAAUGUUAGAGUAUCAGGUUCUGGUAAAUAGGAAUUAAAUAAUUGCAGCCCACGUUACACAUUUAACUAGUAUAUCUUGGAAGUAACAGCAUUUGUACCUUUUUUCUAGUUGGAUACUAAACUAUAAAACUUAAUUGCACAAGCCUAUCCAUCAAUGAUGUAUUCUUAUUCUGUGAAAAAAUAAAUAAAUUUUUAUUGAAC
Molecule: long non-coding RNA, 8302 nt
Organism: Bacillus rossius redtenbacheri
Lineage: Eukaryota; Metazoa; Arthropoda; Insecta; Phasmatodea; Bacillidae
Exons: 4
Source: RefSeq, a predicted model, not a curated record